RNAcentral lists this ribosomal RNA (453 nucleotides) under Amphipholis squamata. RNAcentral describes it as "partial 16S ribosomal RNA". It matches the Rfam family "Bacterial large subunit ribosomal RNA", at positions 1893 to 2579 of the family's 2925-position model. The record is from RNAcentral. Lineage: Eukaryota; Metazoa; Echinodermata; Ophiuroidea; Amphilepidida; Amphiuridae.
UAUAAAUACAGCCCCCGGCCCGGGGACUAAAGUUAACGGCUGCAGUAUUACUGACUGUGCAAAGGUAGCAUAAUCAUUCGCCUAUUAAUUGUAGGCUGGAAUCAACGGCUAGACGAUAGAAGCUCUGUCUCUCUUUAUUAUUAAUUUGAAUUUAACUUUAUGGUGAAGAGGCCAUAAUUUAUUAGUGGGACGAGAAGACCCUAUAGAGUUUUACUUUGAUAGUAAUUUCUUAUUACUAAAAAGGUUUAGUUGGGGCAACUUUCUUUUAUAUAAAACAAAGAAUAAACAAUAAAUAAUCUAAUUUGUGACCUAAAAUUUUUUAAUUAAGGGAAAAAGUUACCUUAGGGAUAACAGCGUAAUUCUUCUUGAGAGUACUUAUUGACAGAAGAGCUUGCGACCUCGAUGUUGGAUCAGAAAACCCUAUAUGUGCAGCAGCCUCUAAGGGGAGGUUUG